UUCUUCACUAAAAGGUAAGAACCUUGAUUUUAACUCCCUGUGCGUGUCUCUCCUUCGCGCUUCCAAACAACGCGAUCCAACCCUCUAGUUCUCUCCUCCGUAAUACGUGAAACCCAACAAAGAGGCACGCCAAAAGCAGCAGCAAGGACAUGCGCAGCGGUACCAAGUAUAAUCUCCUUGUAUUUUUCCUCGAUGUCCCUCUCAAUUAGUACCAUCGUAGCAGAAAAAUAAUAGGAGCACAUGAAAUUGUCCUUAGCGUGAUAUAGCUCCACGUAUCAUCUCAAGGAAAAGAUAUUGAUCCCAGCCAUCAAUUCUUUCUUUCCUCUUCCGAAAUGGGUCAAAACUUCAAAAAAAAAAGUUACUUGUCCAAAAGGGUGAAAGAUUUUGAGUUUUGAGUUUUGAUUUUGGGCCUUUCAGUCCGUAGUGUUUUUCGUCCGUUCCCCCCCAACCCCGCCCCAAUUUGCCAUAAUUCUUAGACUAUAAAUAUGCUAUUUCUUUUUCUUUUGGAGGUUGUUCAGUGUUGGGAGAAAAGGAGAUUUAGGACAGAAAAUGAUUUUUUGAAAAUCUUGGAUCGAUAAUACAUACAGCUUAAGGUGAAAUAGUUGAAAUACACACUUAGUGCUUCAAAGAAAACAGAGGAGAUAGUUUGUUCAGUUUUGAGAUUUAUAUCUCUGUAAAAACGUCCAAUUACUGUUCGUCUCUGUGCUCAUGUGGUGAAGGUCUUCGCUGCCUGCUCACUCAUUCAAAAUCACUGCACAUGAAAAGGUACGAAUCCCCAAGGACAAACCAAGGGCCCUUGAGAAGGACCCUUCUACGUUGGAGUCAAAGACUUCCUGGGCAGUGUGCAUUGACGAAGGAAGUAGACGAGGCGUAUGUUGAUCAAAGUUCCAGUCGUUGAAGUGCUUUUGAAGAUGACUUGAUAUUAAUCCAAGUAGGGUUGGUCCUCACUUUCCGAGGGCAAGGUUAAUAUCAAGCUAUGAUAUUAUUCUAUUAUUAAACUCUCAUGUUUCUUUCCUUUUUAUGUAGUAUGGAAUAUUGUAUAGCCCCUGUGAGGCAUUCUUACUUUAACGUAUGGACUAUGCCCAAGUUCUUACACUCUUAUUAGAUUGUUAUGAGAUGAGAUGACUAUUAUGACUAUGUUA
Molecule: long non-coding RNA, 1142 nt
Organism: Solanum lycopersicum (tomato)
Lineage: Eukaryota; Viridiplantae; Streptophyta; Magnoliopsida; Solanales; Solanaceae
Source: RefSeq, a predicted model, not a curated record